AGACUCCUACGGGAGGCAGCAGUAGGGAAUAUUGUCCAAUGGGCGCAAGCCUGAGACAGCCAUGCCGCGUGUGUGAAGAAGGCCUUCGGGUUGUAAAGCACUUUCAGCGGGGAGGAAGAAGCCGGAGUUAAUAGCUCUGGUUGAUGACGUUACCCGCAGAAGAAGGACCGGCUAACUCCGUGCCAGCAGCCGCGGUAAUACAGAGGGUGCGAACGUUGCUCGGAUUUACUGGGCGUAAAGCGCGUGUAGGCGGACUCGCAAGUCGGUUGUGAAAUCCCUGGGCUUAACCUAGGAACUGCAUCCGAAACUGCUUGUCUUGAGUAAUGGGAGAGGGUGGCGGAAUUCCCGGUGUAGAGGUGAAAUUCGUAGAUAUCGGGAGGAACAUCAGUGGGCGAAGGCGGCCCUCUGGCACUUGACUGACGCUGAGGCGCGAAAGCGUGGGGGAGCAAACAGGAUUAGAUACCCUGGUAGUCCACGCUGUAACGUGAAAAGUCAAGGUGGUUGGGCUCGCGGAGGGUUCAGUGCCGUAGGGAACCAUUAAUAUUCCGCCUGGGGAGUACGACCGCAAGGUUAAAACUCAAAGGAAUUGACGGGGCCCGCACAAGCGG
Molecule: ribosomal RNA, 608 nt
Filed under: uncultured bacterium
Lineage: Bacteria
Description: bacterial SSU rRNA
Rfam family: Bacterial small subunit ribosomal RNA
Source: RNAcentral